CAGUCGCCGCGGGAAUACGUAGGGUGCGAGCGUUAAUCGGAAUUACUGGGCGUAAAGCGUGCGCAGGCGGUUGUGUAAGACAGGUGUGAAAUCCCCGGGCUUAACCUGGGAACUGCGCUUGUGACUGCACAGCUAGAGUAUGGCAGAGGGGGGUGGAAUUCCACGUGUAGCAGUGAAAUGCAUAGAGAUGUGGAGGAACACCGAUGGCGAAGGUAGCCCCCUGGGCCAAUACUGACGCUCAUGCACGAAAGCGUGGGGAGCAAACAGGAUUAGAUACCCAGUAGUCCCUGUCUCUUAUACA
RNAcentral lists this ribosomal RNA (301 nucleotides) under uncultured bacterium. RNAcentral's name for it is "partial 16S ribosomal RNA". It matches the Rfam family "Bacterial small subunit ribosomal RNA", at positions 509 to 808 of the family's 1533-position model. The record is from RNAcentral.